AUCGGAUCAGUGAUGUCAUAUAUUUCUGCGUUAUCUAUCUGUAGUCUACUUCUACAAAAGAACUGAAGAUAACAUAAAUGCUGAGAUCAU
This is a non-coding RNA of Punica granatum (pomegranate), 90 nucleotides long. NCBI's taxonomy places the organism in Eukaryota, Viridiplantae, Streptophyta, Magnoliopsida, Myrtales, Lythraceae. The record is from Rfam.